Molecule: transfer RNA, 63 nt
Filed under: Cteniopinus ruber
Lineage: Eukaryota; Metazoa; Arthropoda; Insecta; Coleoptera; Tenebrionidae
Description: tRNA-Phe
Source: RNAcentral
ACUUAAAUAGCUUAUUUAGAGCAUGAUAUUGAAGAUAUCAAGGAAACUUUUAGUUUUUAGGUA